UUAACCCACAGUGCAGUGAAGGACACAUUAGGAUUGGGAGACACAACAAACUAAAUUUGCGAUGGGGUGUCGUGUCUAUCUCUCUCUAGUUCUCUUCAUAAAUAUUCUACUAACCUGCUCAUCAAGAACAACUUGG
This is a long non-coding RNA of Eurytemora carolleeae, 136 nucleotides long. RefSeq lists it as uncharacterized. The transcript is spliced from 2 exons. Lineage: Eukaryota; Metazoa; Arthropoda; Copepoda; Calanoida; Temoridae. The record is from RefSeq and is a predicted model, not a curated record.